RNAcentral lists this long non-coding RNA (1101 nucleotides) under Chrysemys picta bellii (western painted turtle). RNAcentral's name for it is "lncRNA (ENSCPBG00000002258.1)". The record is from RNAcentral. Lineage: Eukaryota; Metazoa; Chordata; Testudines; Emydidae.
UUCAUGGAGCAGCUGGUACGGGAACCCACAAGGGGAGAGGCAACUCUAGAUUUAGUCCUGAGUGGAGCGCAGGAGCUGGUCCAAGAGGUAACUAUAACAGGACCACUUGGAAAUAGUGACCAUAAUACAAUAGCAUUCAACAUCCCUGUGGUGGGAAGAACAUCUCAACAUCCCAACACUGUGGCAUUUAAUUUCAAAAGGGGGAACUAUGCAAAAAUGAGGGGGUUAGUUAAACAGAAGUUAAAAAGUACAGUGACUAAAGUGAAAUCCCUGCAAGCUGCAUGGGCGCUUUUUAAAGACACCAUAAUAGUGGCCCAACUUCAAUGUAUACCCCAAAUUAAGAAACACAGUAAAAGAACUAAAAAAGAGCCACCGUGGCUUAACAACCAUGUAAAAGAAGCAGUGAGAGAUAAAAAGACUUCCUUUAAAAAGUGGAAGUCAAAUCCUAGUGAGGCAAAUAGAAAGGAGCAUAAACGCUGCCAAAUUAAGUGCAAGAAUGUAAUAAGAAAAGCCAAAGAGGAGUUUGAAGAACGGCUAGCCAAAAACUCCAAAGGUAAUAACAAAAUGUUUUUUAAGUACAUCAGAAGCAGGAAGCCUGCCAAACAACCAGUGGGGUCCCUUGAUGAUCGAGAUACAAAAGGAGCGCUUAAAGACGAUAAAGUCAUUGUGGAGAAACUAAAUGGAUUCUUUGCUUCAGUCUUCACAGCUGAGGAUGUUAGGGAGAUUCCCAAACCUGAGCCGGCUUUUGUAGGUGACAAAUCUGAGGAACUGUCACAGAUUGAAGUGUCACUAGAGGAGGUUUUGGAAUUAAUUGAUAAACUUAACAUUAACAAGUCACCAGGACCAGAUGGCAUUCACCCAAGAGUUCUGAAAGAACUCAAAUGUGAAGUUGCGGAACUAUUAACUAAGGUUUGUAACCUAUCCUUUAAAUCGGCUUCUGUACCCACUGACUGGAAGUUAGCUAAUGUAACAUAUUUAUUUAUUUAAAAAGGGCUCUAGAGGUGAUCCCGGCAAUUACAGACUGGUAAGUCUAAUGUCGGUACCGGGCAAAUUAGUCGAAACAAUAGUAAAGAAUAAAAUUGUCAGACACAUAGAAAAACA